GCAAGUCGAACGGCAGCACGGGUGCUUGCACCUGGUGGCGAGUGGCGUACGGGUGAGUAAUAUAUCGGAACGUGCCCUAGAGUGGGGGAUAACGUAGCGAAAGUUACGCUAAUACCGCAUACGAUCUACGGAUGAAAGUGGGGGAUCGCAAGACCUCAUGCUCCUGGAGCGGCCGAUAUCUGAUUAGCUAGUUGGUGGGGUAAUAGCCCACCAAGGCGACGAUCAGUAGCUGGUCUGAGAGGACGACCAGCCACACUGGGACUGAGACACGGCCCAGACUCCUACGGGAGGCAGCAGUGGGGAAUUUUGGACAAUGGGGGAAACCCUGAUCCAGCAAUGCCGCGUGUGUGAAGAAGGCCUUCGGGUUGUAAAGCACUUUUGUCAGGAACGAAACGGUGGGGGCUAAUACCCUCUGCUAAUGACGGUACCUGAAGAAUAAGCACCGGCUAACUACGUGCCAGCAGCCGCGGUAAUACGUAGGGUGCGAGCGUUAAUCGGAAUUACUGGGCGUAAAGCGUGCGCAGGCGGUUGUGCAAGACAGAUGUGAAAUCCCCGGGCUUAACCUGGGAAUUGCAUUUGUGACUGCACGGCUAGAGUGUGUCAGAGGGGGGUAGAAUUCCACGUGUAGCAGUGAAAUGCGUAGAUAUGUGGAGGAAUACCGAUGGCG
RNAcentral lists this ribosomal RNA (667 nucleotides) under uncultured Burkholderiales bacterium. RNAcentral's name for it is "bacterial SSU rRNA". It matches the Rfam family "Bacterial small subunit ribosomal RNA", at positions 57 to 717 of the family's 1533-position model. Lineage: Bacteria; Pseudomonadati; Pseudomonadota; Betaproteobacteria; Burkholderiales. The record is from RNAcentral.